GAUAACAGCCAUAUCACCCUGCAGCCCAAGACCGGUUACUCCCUAAAGCUAAGCAGGGCUGAGCCUGGCCAGUACCUGGCUGGGAGACCACAUGGGAAAACGAGGUUGCUGUUGGAA
RNAcentral lists this ribosomal RNA (117 nucleotides) under Danio rerio (zebrafish). Lineage: Eukaryota; Metazoa; Chordata; Actinopteri; Cypriniformes; Danionidae. The record is from RNAcentral.